This 271-nucleotide unclassified non-coding RNA is filed under the name uncultured Chloroflexota bacterium. RNAcentral describes it as "uncultured Chloroflexi bacterium contains 16S-23S intergenic spacer region". Lineage: Bacteria; Bacillati; Chloroflexota. The record is from RNAcentral.
UCCCCGAUUUCCGGGGCAGUCUCCCUAGAGUUCCCUUGCGGGUCCUCGGCCUUUCGACCUCGUACCACACGCAUGUCAAGCCCAGGUAAGGUUCUUCGCGUUGCGUCGAAUUAAACCACACGCUCCGCUGCUUGUGCGGGCCCCCGUCAAUUCCUUUGAGUUUUAGCCUUGCGGCCGUAGUCCCCAGGCGGAGCACUUAUCGCGUUAGCUGCGGCACCGAGGGGGUCGAUACCCCCGACACCUAGUGCUCAUCGUUUACGGCGUGGACUAC